Long non-coding RNA from Gambusia affinis (western mosquitofish), 1875 nucleotides. RefSeq lists it as uncharacterized. The record is from RefSeq and is a predicted model, not a curated record. Lineage: Eukaryota; Metazoa; Chordata; Actinopteri; Cyprinodontiformes; Poeciliidae. The transcript is spliced from 3 exons.
GUGUCUUCAUCAGGUUUAUGAGCCUCACCUGUGGGGUUUGAAUGUGGCAUGUGGAAAAUAGGACUAAGAAUCGAGAGAAAUGCUAUAGAAAAGACACAAUGUUUUGAUGAAAACUAUUUCAGCCAAACCACUAAGAGAUUAUUUUUAGUGAUGCUCACCUUUUAAUAAUACUGACCCUUUUUUUUUUACCCAUUCUUGCACACUUUGGAGGAAUAUAUAUUGCUUUUAUUAAAAAGGAUUAGUCUAGGCUUACUGCUCUGUGGGUCACUGAGUGGAGCGCUAUGGACAACAAGAAGCUGCUGCCAUGAAAAACAACAUUAAGAGUGAAGAUGUCUUCCAGUCCCUACUGAAGAAAGGCAACCUCACAGCUUGAUCCCACCGUCUCUGUCGUUUGGACCCAGUUGGGUUUCCGACAAUCCGCUCCUUUUCAGCACAAGAAACUGAGAUUCCAGUGGAUUUGCAGCGGAAGUCUGAGUUUCCUACGCUGAGAGAGAUCGCCUGUUUUGUCUGCCAGGGAGCGAACGUUCGCCAGGUGCACUGACGUGGGUGAAGCAUGAAGUCCUUGGAGGAGCAACUUUCCGACCGUACUUGCCUAUUUUUCCCGUCCAAGUCUUUGGCAAAUCCCACAGAGAGCAGCUGUGCUUCCAACCUGGAUCUCGGUAAAACUUUUUUGUUCCAUGAAAGCUGGAGGGAAAAUGCUCAGUGAGAAUUAUGGAUGCUUAGAAGUUGCUCUCCGGUAAAAGCAAAUUAAUAAUAGUAGCAAAAUACACAUUAACCACUUUGUCAAGGCCUGAAUCUAUUUAAAUGUCAUCUUUUUCUAAUUUCUCUUGCAUAUAUAUUCUUAUUUUUAAAUGAAUGUUUUGGUUUUACUUGAACUACAAUUAAGUCUUUUGCUAAACAGAAGAUUUUACAGAAGAGAUGAGAGAAAAGUAGAACAUUUUCUCAUUUCACUUUAAGCACAAAGUGUGGGUUUCAAGUUGCAUUUUAUUUCAAAUCAAUAAUCGCACCAAGAAAAAAAAAUGCAUUAAAAAAACAUCCAAUUAAAAUCCUUCCCUUAACAAUUUAUAAAACGCAUAGAAGAGCAAAAAUAUUUAUGAAAUCUAUAGCAGAAUUUAAAUGCAUUCUAGACAAAAUCUGCAGAUGCUGCCUUUCAUUUUGGCAAAUUCAACUUCAAAGACAAGUUGAAGUUGAGUUCAACACCAUGAAGUCGGAAAGAAAAGUGAAUCAUAACAUGCUUUGUUUAUGUUGACUUUGCUAAAAACGUACCUCUCCACACCAUCCUUCAGCAACAAGAUGUAUCAAUUGAUUUAUCAUGGAAGUUGACUCCGAUUUGAACUGAUUAAAGUCUUGUUCAGUUCUUGCAUGCAUUUAGUGUCAUUGUUUACGUCUAGACUUCUGUCCAAAAUCUGCACCUAAGCAAUGACAUGGGAUGCAACACUCGUGUUUAAAACUGCCAGGGAUGCAAUUUGUACCAGAACACACCAUCAAUUGUUCUCUUUUUUUCUUAAAGGCAUAUUUCAGUUGAUAGGCCUCUAAACUGAGCUCGUCCAAGAAUUGAAGGGAUUGUUUCCUUUUCUUUGUGCUUCUUUUUCACGGUUCUCUCGUUUUAUAGUGCUCCUCUGGAAGAUUUCUUAGUUUCUCAGCAGCCUGAGACAAAAAGAAAAGCAAAGGUUGAUUUUAAGAUUAUAAUAAAUGCAGAAAGAAACUGUUUAUUUUUUAUGCCAAGUAGUAGAACUGCUAAACCUGUAAAUUUUAACAACAAAACAAUACUAUUUCCAUUUCUGUAUAUUGGAUUAAAUAGAAGUCCAUGAGAUGUACAAAGUUUGGGACAUUGUUUCAAAAUCUAAUCUUGCUUUAAAUGUCUCUACAACAUAA